Molecule: ribosomal RNA, 477 nt
Filed under: uncultured bacterium
Lineage: Bacteria
Description: bacterial SSU rRNA
Rfam family: Bacterial small subunit ribosomal RNA
Source: RNAcentral
GAUGAACGCUAGCGGCAGGCUUAACACAUGCAAGUCGAGGGGCAACACGGGUAGCAAUACCUGGUGGCGACCGGCGCAAGGGUGCGUAACGCGUGAGCAACAUGCCCUAUACAGGGGGAUAAUCCAGGGAAACUUGGUCUAAUAUCCCAUAGUAUUUAGAGGUGGCAUCACCACUAAAUUAAAGCUUCGGUGGUAUAGGAUUGGCUCGCGUGACAUUAGCUGGAUGGUGGGGUAACGGCUCACCAUGGCGAUGAUGUCUAGGGGUUCUGAGAGGAAGACCCCCCACACUGGGACUGAGACACGGCCCAGACUCCUACGGGAGGCAGCAGUGAGGAAUAUUGGACAAUGGAUGGAAAUCUGAUCCAGCCAUGCCGCGUGCAGGAAGACGGCCCUAUGGGUUGUAAACUGCUUUUAUAUGGGAGCAAUAAGAUCUACGUGUAGAUUGAUGAGAGUACCAUACGAAUAAGCACCGGCUAA